This 341-nucleotide unclassified non-coding RNA is filed under the name Hevea brasiliensis (rubber tree). Lineage: Eukaryota; Viridiplantae; Streptophyta; Magnoliopsida; Malpighiales; Euphorbiaceae. The record is from RNAcentral.
GGUCACAGGAUGUUUGCAUUUCUCAUUCAUUUUGUCUAGUUACAAUAAUACGUAGUUUGUUUAGCAUCUAAGCCUGUAGUUUUCAGUUUAACCGCAAUCUUUGUAGCGCUUCGAGUAGUGGUUUCAGUCUGCUUUGGGAAAGAACAAUAUUGACGUAUUUUGCUAGAUUAAAUGGACCGUCAGUAGCUGCUUCGCAUAAAUUUCAAUCUCUAUGGAGAAGAAAAUCCUAGAUGUGGAUUUUGAAAUGUUUAUACACCACAGUUUCUUCGUGUUAGUAUGCAAAAUACUGUCGACUUCACAAACUUUUUUCCCCCAGUUUGAAACUAAAAUCUUAUAAAAAC